Molecule: ribosomal RNA, 185 nt
Filed under: Rhizophagus intraradices
Lineage: Eukaryota; Fungi; Glomeromycota; Glomeromycetes; Glomerales; Glomeraceae
Source: RNAcentral
CAGUCGUACCGGCGGAUAAUCAGCCUUUUCGGGUGCGAUUCUGUGGGCGUGAGGAGCUUAACCGCCUUCAUGUUUUGCAUAUUCGUGCACAUUUGGUGUACUUGUCCGUGUGGUGGGUUAACAUCAAUUUCGGCGUUCAUAAAAUGAUUGGAGAAUGUAGCUUUAGUCUCGUAUCGAAGUUGUUA